Molecule: ribosomal RNA, 835 nt
Filed under: uncultured euryarchaeote
Lineage: Archaea; Methanobacteriati; Methanobacteriota
Description: bacterial SSU rRNA
Rfam family: Archaeal small subunit ribosomal RNA
Source: RNAcentral
UAAGCCANGGCAAGUCAGGGUAGUAAUACCCGGCGNACANGCUCAANUAACANGUCAAUAAUCUGCCCUUAGGUCACGGAUAACCUUUGGGAAACUGAGGGUAAACCGUGAUAGGGAGAGAUGCUCUGGAACAUAGCUCUCUUUAAAGCUCGAGCCUAAGGAUGAGUUGGCGGCCGAUUAGGCUGUUGGCGGUGUAACGGACCACCAAACCUAUGAUCGGUAGGGGCCUUGAAAGAGGGAGCCCCGAGAAGGACACUGAAAUACUGGUCCUAGCCCUACGGGGUGCAGCAGGCGCGAAACUUUUACAAUGCACGAAAGUGUGAUAAGGGGAUCCCAAGUGCUUGCACACUGUGCAGGCUUUUUUCCAGGGCAAGUACCUGGGAGAAUAAGUGGUGGGCAAGACUGGUGCCAGCCGCCGCGGUAACACCAGCGCCACGAGUGGCAGCCGUGUAUUUGGCCUAAAGCGUCCGUAGCUGGUAGUGUAAAUUCUUUGUGAAAUUGUUGAGCUUAACUUAACAGCGCGCAGAGAACACUGCAUUACUUGAGACCGGGAGGAGUCAGAGGUAUUUCUGGGGGAGCGGUAAAAUGCUAUAAUCCCAGGAAGACCACCUGUGGCGAAGGCGUCUGACUAGAACGGAUCUGACAGUGAGGGACGAAAGCCAGGGGAGCAAACCGGAUUAGAUACCCGAGUAGUCCUGGCUGUAAACGCUGUGAGCUAGGUGUUGCCUAUUCUACAUGAAUGGGCAGUGUCGAAAUGAAGAUGUUAAGCUCACCGCCUGGGAAGUACAGUCGCAAGGCCGAAACUUAAAGGAAUUGGCGGGGGAGCACAAUCACU